Molecule: ribosomal RNA, 291 nt
Filed under: uncultured prokaryote
Description: partial 16S ribosomal RNA
Rfam family: Bacterial small subunit ribosomal RNA
Source: RNAcentral
GUGUCAGCAGCCGCGGUAAUACGUAGGUCCCGAGCGUUGUCCGGAUUUAUUGGGCGUAAAGCGAGCGCAGGCGGUUAGAUAAGUCUGAAGUUAAAGGCUGUGGCUUAACCAUAGUACGCUUUGGAAACUGUUUAACUUGAGUGCAAGAGGGGAGAGUGGAAUUCCAUGUGUAGCGGUGAAAUGCGUAGAUAUAUGGAGGAACACCGGUGGCGAAAGCGGCUCUCUGGCUUGUAACUGACGCUGAGGCUCGAAAGCGUGGGGAGCAAACAGGAUUAGAUACCCCCGUAGUCC